AUAUUUAACAGUUUACAUACAGUACCAGUCAAAAGUUAGGUCACCUACCCAUUCCAGGGUUUUUCUUUAUUUUUACUAUUGUCUACAUUGUAGAAUAAUAGUGAAGACAUCAACAUUUUGAAAUAACACAUAUUGAAUCAUGUAGUAACCAAAAACAAAUAAAAAUAUAUUGUAUAUUUGAGAGUCGUCAAAGUAGCCACCCUUUGCCUUGAUGACAACUUUGCACACACUUGGUAUUCUCUCAACAAGCUUCACCUGGAUUUUUUUCCCCCCAACAGUUUAGAAGGAUUUCCCACAUAUGCUGAGCACUUGUUGGCUGCUUUUCCUUCACUCUGCGGUCCAACUCAUCCCAAACCAUCUCUUUCAUUUUACCCGCUUCCCUGCCUAAAACUACACAAAAAGGUUGAAUGAUUAAAAAUGGAUGGCAGGAAGCUUGGCCCCAGUGAUGUACUGGGCUGUACGCACUACCCUCUGUAGUGCCUUAAGGUCGGAGGCCGAGCAGUUGCCAUAACAGUCAGGAUGCUCUCGAUGGUGCAGCUGUGGAACUUUUUGAGGAUCUGGGGACCCAUGCCAAAUAUUUUCAGUCUCCUGAGGGGGAAGAGGUGUUGUCAUGCCUUCGUCACAACUUUCCUGGUGUGUUUGGACCAUAAGUUUGUUGGUGAUGUUGACACCAACGAACUUGAAACUCUCGACCCACUUCACUACAGCCUUGUCGAUGUGAAUGGGGGCGUGUUCAGUCCCCCUUUUCCUGUAGUUCACAAUCAUCUUCUUUGUCUUGCUCACGUUGAUUGAGAGGUUGUUGUCCUGGUACCAUACUGCCAGGUCUCUGACCUCCUCCCUAUAGGCUGUCUCAUCAUUGUAGGUGAUCAGGCCUACCACUGUUGUGUCAUCAGCAAACUUAAUGAUGGUGUUGGAGUUGUGCUUGGCACGCAGUCGUGGGUGAACAAAGCAGGCAACCCUGAGGGGCCCGCGUGUUGAGGAUCAGCUUAGCAGAUGUGUUGUUGCCUACCCUUACCACCUGGGGGUAACCCGUCAGGAAGUCCAGCAUCCAGUUGCAGAGGGAGGUGUUCAGUCCCAGGGUCCUUAGCUUAGUGCCCACAAAGCUCAUCACUAUGGUGUUGAAUGCUGAGCUGUAGUCAGUGAACAGCGUUCUCACAUAGGUGUUCCUUUUGUCCAGGUGGGAAAGAGCAGUGUGGAGUGCGAUUGAGAUUGCAUCAUCUGUGGAUCUGUUGGGGUAGUAUGCGAGUUGGAGUGAGUCUAGGGUUUCCGGGAUGAUGGUGUUGAUGUGAGCCAUGACCAGCCUUUCAAAAAACUUCAUGGCUACCAAUGUGAGUGCUAUGGGGCGGUAUUCAUUUAGGCAGGUUAUCUUCGCUUUCUUGGCCACAGGGACUAUGGUGGUCUGCUUGAAGCAUGCAGGUAUUACAGGAGCCACCUACUGUACGGGGUAGUAAAAUUAACAUUGUACGAAUUACCAAAAAAUAAAUGAAAUAAACAUGAACCAAAUUCCCGAUACUACCCUGAAUUUCAAACAAAAACUGUACUAUUCAGAUCCCUACACAGACUCAGGAACCUGGGAGGUGUAAACUCCUAUUCAGUACUCCCUGUAACAUUUCGGCUGUAAAGUCCUGGAGAUCCAGAAAUCUAUUUGCCGCCUUCACAAUGAUGUCUACCUUAGAUUUUUUUUUAUUAGUUUGACUAGUGCAAUUUAUCACUUGGGCUAUAAAACGCAACGAAGUCCACCUUCUUCACUUAGUAUGUCGGGAUCCUUCUCCUGCAUGGCAUACUGCAGACUGUGGGCCAUCCACUACCAUCUCUCUACGCACUUCUCCACAUAGGAGACCUGCUGGAUGGCACCGAUCCUAGCUACUGCGACCUCCUUCAUCCUCAACAGGGCACUUCCGGGAACGUGAUUCCCAUCAAAAUAACAACAUGCUUCAUCUGACUCUUCAACUACUACAUAUUUUUUCAUUCGACAACCACACAGCCUCUAUAUACAACUAAACACCUGAGAUGACACCUUUAACCGGUGCCCUAUUCUGAAAAUCACAUCUUGUUGAGCCACAAAGCUUUCACCUUUUGCGCUGUUGACACAAAUGAACCUCAGCAUCAUACCGCUCCUGGUCACUCGAACCGAUUCCACUUCACCAUCUUUGAGACAGCAAACAGGUCACCCCAAAAAACAAUUUGUGAAUCGCACUGAAACCAUAAACUGCUGUGCAUUUCCAACUUUAGCCCUUUUCAAUCUCCUCUUUUUCACCAACGUCCACUCAUUCUCACCAACUGUACUUAGGCCAAGAGAAUCGCAAAAUAUUUCCGCCAUUGCUCCUCCAGUCAUCCCCUGGACUCCCUCGCCCUUUGCUGUGAAAGAUGCGAGUUUGUGUUCUCGAAGUAUCAUCCAUAUUGUUCACAUUCCAGCACAGCUGUUGCGUCACCAUCUUUUUCUCAAUUUCCCCACUUUAAUCUGCACUACUCGCCGCCAUUUCCCUUCGCCGAACAAAUUCAAAUUGAAAACACCAACAAACUCAGUUUCCGCCAUCUUCCUCACCUAUCAAAGUUGUUCAAGAUGUAUGUAACAAAGCUUUUAUCUGUGGCAGUGUAGCUAGCGCCGUCUCUGGCCCACACUCCAGCACAGUAGGUGGCGUUAAUGCACCAACGUUGGAUGCCAAUCACCCCAACGAAUGAGGAGGCUGCUAGCUAGGCUAGGGGGAACUGGUAGUGUCCUUCGCCCCCGCCUGCCAAGCACUGCUUUCCCGCAGUUCUGUUAACGUUAUGGGAAGUAGCUUGCGCAGCCAACCCUAUUCCUGCGUGACACUACCUGGUACAUGCUAGCAGGCGGGGGUGAACGACAGUGCGUGCCGGUGUAGCAGCCUCAACGGCGUCGCAGGGGGCGUGGCAUGUAGUAAGUGAAGCGUAGUGGGCACAGCAUAUAGUAAACGCAGUCUGCAGAUAGACCCUGCUCGUAUAAUUAGCUACCCUCAGACCAACGAACAUACAGAGAUGUAUGUCUGUAUGUUAUUAGCCUAAGGCCGGUCUGGGUUGAUCGAGGAUUGUGUUUUGUUCAUUUUCCAGACAGGAACUUGAGUUUUUAUUGAAACCGAGUUGAGAUGUCUUCCUCUUAAAAUACAAUAAUAAAACUGUACAAUGGUUGUUUUUGUUUAUACCUUACCUUAGUGCAAGGGAUAUUUAAUUGGUGUGUAUUUCAAUACUGUGAAGGCAUAUUAUAUUUCCUAGUGGUAACUAUACACUCAGUGGCCAGUUUAUUAUGUACACCCAUCUAUACUAAACACAAGAUGUAAAGUGUUGUUUCCAUGUUUCAUGAACUGAAAUAAAAGAUCCCAGA
This 3340-nucleotide long non-coding RNA is filed under the name Salmo salar (Atlantic salmon). RNAcentral describes it as "lncRNA (ENSSSAG00000082815.1)". Lineage: Eukaryota; Metazoa; Chordata; Actinopteri; Salmoniformes; Salmonidae. The record is from RNAcentral.